Molecule: ribosomal RNA, 484 nt
Filed under: uncultured bacterium
Lineage: Bacteria
Description: partial 16S ribosomal RNA
Rfam family: Bacterial small subunit ribosomal RNA
Source: RNAcentral
AUUGAACGCUGGCGGCAGGCCUAACACAUGCCAGUCGAGCGGAUGAAGGGAGCUUGCUCCUGGAUUCAGCGGCGGACGGGAGAGUAAUGCCUAGGAAUCUGCCUGGUAGUGGGGGAUAACGUCCGGAAACGGGCGCUAAUACCGCAUACGUCCUGAGGGAGAAAGUGGGGGAUCUUCGGACCUCACGCUAUCAGAUGAGCCUAGGUCGGAUUAGCUAGUUGGUGGGGUAAAGGCCUACCAAGGCGACGAUCCGUAACUGGUCUGAGAGGAUGAUCAGUCACACUGGAACUGAGACACGGUCCAGACUCCUACGGGAGGCAGCAGUGGGGAAUAUUGGACAAUGGGCGAAAGCCUGAUCCAGCCAUGCCGCGUGUGUGAAGAAGGUCUUCGGAUUGUAAAGCACUUUAAGUUGGGAGGAAGGGCAGUAAGUUAAUACCUUGCUGUUUUGACGUUACCAACAGAAUAAGCACCGGCUAACUUCGUG